ACAAUGUUCGUUUUGGACAAAGCAUUCUAUAUCAGUACGCGGUUUGAAUGUUGUAAGACAUUGCAAAAUUAAGAAUGAUGAUGAAUUGAGCAAGAUACAAUCAGGCCACUGCACAUUUUUUUAUAAAUUCAGCAUAUGGAUAACACGGUGCUCUUAGAGGUGCAGAUAAUAUAAAAGACUGCAAAAAUCAUAGUGCUGGAUUUACAACGUACCUAUCACGACAUCUUGAUCAUCAUCAAGCUUUCCCUGAUGAGCGGCGCACUUUUGGUGGUUAUUUUCUUCUACAGAAUUGAUCAAUAUACAAUUAGGCUACUGAAAAAUGUUUUAUAAAUUCGGGAUCUGAAUAUAACAUGGUGUUAUAGAGGUAAUUGCUGUAUAUUUUUAUUCCUAGAAUCGAAUUAGCCAUUACUAUUUAACCGUUCUUUUACUGAUUCUUUUCAUGUCGUCCGUUUUCAUGCUAGAAUAUGGCAAAACACAACAGGAAUAAUAGUCUUGCAUGGAAUUCACAAGUUACCUGUCAUUACUACUACAUCCUGAUGAUCGAAGAGCGUUCCCUUAAGAGCAGCGUCUAGAUUUUCAUUAUUUUCUUCUAUAGAUUUAAUGAAGAUACAAUCAGGUUACAGCAUAAUGUUUUAUAGAUUCGCUAUCUGCAUAAUAUGGAUUUAUUGCCAUGUAGUAUACUUUGGCCUUAUACUUCGGGAAUUAGCACUAUAGAAUUAAUAGUAGAGUACCAUGGUGUUCUAAUGGAUUACUAUUUUCGACUUAGGAUGGAAUUAGCUUAUGCUAUUACAGGAAUGACGGUACUUAAAUUCACAAUUUACCCCUCACUAUCACGUUUUGACAAGCGGUUCCUGAUUGUUCUACAUUUUCCGCUACAGAAUUGAAGGAAAUACAUUCAGGUUUGAAUGUUGUAAGACAUUGCAAAAUUAAGAAUGAUGAUGAAUUGAGCAAGAUACAAUCAGGCCACUGCACAUUUUUUAUAAAUU
This is a long non-coding RNA of Dendronephthya gigantea, 986 nucleotides long. RefSeq lists it as uncharacterized. NCBI's taxonomy places the organism in Eukaryota, Metazoa, Cnidaria, Anthozoa, Malacalcyonacea, Nephtheidae. The record is from RefSeq and is a predicted model, not a curated record. The transcript is spliced from 6 exons.